GUACGGAAGGCAGCAGUGGGGAAUAUUGGACAAUGGGCGAAAGCCUGAUCCAGCGACGCCGCGUGGGUGAAGAAGGCCUGCGGGUUGUAAAGCCCUUUCGGUGGGGAUGAAAAGCCUUGGCCUAACACGCCAGGGUCUUGACCUAACCCAAGAAAGAAGCACCGGCUAACUCUGUGCCAGCAGCCGCGGUAAUACAGAGGGUGCGAGCGUUAAUCGGAAUUACUGGGCGUAAAGCGCACGUAGGUGGCUUUGCAAGUCGAUUGUGAAAUCCCCGGGCUCAACCUGGGAACUGCAGUCGAGACUGCUUUGCUUGAGUAUGGGAGAGGGAAGUGGAAUUUCCGGUGUAGCGGUGAAAUGCGUAGAUAUCGGAAGGAACAUCAGUGGCGAAGGCGACUUCCUGGACCAAUACUGACACUCAAGUGCGAAAGCGUGGGGAGCAAACAGGAUUAGAUACCCUCGUAC
This 462-nucleotide ribosomal RNA is filed under the name uncultured bacterium. RNAcentral describes it as "bacterial SSU rRNA". It matches the Rfam family "Bacterial small subunit ribosomal RNA", at positions 339 to 793 of the family's 1533-position model. The record is from RNAcentral.